GACGAACGCUGGCGGCGUGCUUAACACAUGCAAGUCGAACGCUGAAGCUCAGCUUUUGUUGGGUGGAUGAGUGGCGAACGGGUGAGUAACACGUGAGUAACCUGCCCCCUUCUUUGGGAUAACGCCCGGAAACGGGUGCUAAUACUGGAUAUUCACUGGUCUUCGCAUGGGGGUUGGUGGAAAGGGUUUUUCUGGUGGGGGAUGGGCUCGCGGCCUAUCAGCUUGUUGGUGGGGUGAUGGCCUACCAAGGCUUUGACGGGUAGCCGGCCUGAGAGGGUGACCGGCCACAUUGGGACUGAGAUACGGCCCAGACUCCUACGGGAGGCGGCAGUGGGGAAUAAUGCACAAUGGGCGCAAGCCUGAUGCAGCGACGCCGCGUGAGGGAUGGAGGCCUUCGGGUUGUGAACCUCUUUCGCUCAUGGUCAAGCCGCAACAAUGGUUGUGGUGAGGGUAGUGGGUAAAGAAGCGCCGGCUAACUACGUG
RNAcentral lists this ribosomal RNA (483 nucleotides) under uncultured bacterium. Its description in RNAcentral is "partial 16S ribosomal RNA". It matches the Rfam family "Bacterial small subunit ribosomal RNA", at positions 28 to 507 of the family's 1533-position model. The record is from RNAcentral.